UUGCUGUAAUGGCAUUCUAGUGGAAUCGUUUGCGUGUCUUUCGUUUGCAGAGUUUCCGUUUCGUUGAGGUGAAGUGUCCUGGUUCGACUCCCGCGGAGGGAAAGUUCCACUGCGAGAAAUCCAGUGAUUUUGAACUUACCCGGCAAUGGCAGCCCCACCGCCUCAGGGGAGAAAUCCAGCAGGGCAAAGCUGCCCGUGGGAGGGCGAUCAGGAUGGCACAUCCCUCUUAUUGUUACGGGACUUGCGGAUAGUCUGCGAAACCAUUUUU
This 268-nucleotide signal recognition particle RNA is filed under the name Petasospora fabianii. Its description in RNAcentral is "Cyberlindnera fabianii Fungal signal recognition particle RNA". It matches the Rfam family "Fungal signal recognition particle RNA". The record is from Rfam by way of RNAcentral. Lineage: Eukaryota; Fungi; Ascomycota; Saccharomycetes; Phaffomycetales; Wickerhamomycetaceae.